Molecule: ribosomal RNA, 301 nt
Filed under: uncultured bacterium
Lineage: Bacteria
Description: partial 16S ribosomal RNA
Rfam family: Bacterial small subunit ribosomal RNA
Source: RNAcentral
CAGCCGCGGGAAUACGGAGGAUCCAAGCGUUAUCCGGAAUCAUUGGGUUUAAAGGGUCCGUAGGCGGUCUUGUAAGUCAGUGGUGAAAGCCCAUCGCUCAACGGUGGAACGGCCAUUGAUACUGCAGGACUUGAAUUAUUGGGAAGUAACUAGAAUAUGUAGUGUAGCGGUGAAAUGCUUAGAGAUUACAUGGAAUACCAAUUGCGAAGGCAGGUUACUACCAAUUGAUUGACGCUGAUGGACGAAAGCGUGGGUAGCGAACAGGAUUAGAUACCCCCGUAGUCCCUGUCUCUUAUACACA